Molecule: non-coding RNA, 1814 nt
Organism: Struthio camelus australis
Lineage: Eukaryota; Metazoa; Chordata; Aves; Struthioniformes; Struthionidae
Source: RefSeq, a predicted model, not a curated record
GGGACGCGCACCAUCCUCCCCCGGCGCCGGAGGACCCAGCCGCCUGGAUCCUCCCUCCUCCCCUACGCCUGCUUCAGCCCAAGGACUCUGUUUUUUGGGGAGCAAGGGGGGGGCCUCCCGGAUCCUCUCUCCUUUCCUGCCCCGAAACCCCUCUGUCUGUGUCAACGUUGUGCCCCCACCACCAUCGAAACCAGCAUCCUGGCGUCCACAGCGCGCCGAGCUCGAAGAGAAGGGAGCGAGGCCACUGCGGCUUCCCAGCUCUAAGGGUGCAGAAUUGUUUGUUUUCUGGGAUGCAAACUGCUAAACUCCAGGCGUCUGAACUGGAACCCAUAACUGAACUAGUUAAAAGCUGGCAGGUUUCUGAAGAUUAAAGAACACUUUCUUGUUUUGAUUUUUUUUUUUCCUUUUAACAUGGGGGUUGCAAAGAGAGGUAGGUUAAAGAAAAAGCAGGCAUAAAGCACAAGGAAAGCUCGAUGGAUUGGCUGCUGCUCACUAAAGAUCUUCCCCUUCUCUCCAAAUAAGGUGGUCUCGAAAGAGCACUGGCUUUAGUAGUUGGAAGGAAGGCGAGCCAGUUUUCCCCUGGCUCCGGUGGGUGACGGCAAUCCAGCCCCAGUCGCUGGGUCGCUAAAACUAGCUAUUUCUUAAAGCUGUCGCUCGGUUGGGAAAGAGCAAAAAAAAAAAAAAGAAAAAAAAAGAAAGAAACGCGGCUGCAAGUCUUUAAUCUGGGCAAAGGAACGACCGGCACCGAGCGAGACGCGAGCAAAACUGGAGGCUUCGGUGGGGAUCCGUGGACGCAUCAGUCUGACUCAAAACCACCAAGAACCUCAGGUGCAGAAAUCCAUCAGUUCUUCUUUUACGAGAAUUUUUAGCAAACGAACUCGAUCCGUUUCCUCAGUACCUCACAUCGUGUUAACAGCGGAGUUGGCAAGGGCUGGCUUGUUAGCGCGACACACACAACCUGUGGGAGCUUCGGGCCCAUCGCAGUGAAGGCGCCGACGCGAAAAACGAUAAGCUCUGUGACUAUAACUAUACCCUGGCAGCGGGUAUUUUUUUUUACCACCUUCAAGUUUCACCAGAGACUGGCUACUGCCAAUUCGUCCAGCUGUUCCAGAAUAAAGUUGGGGUCUUUUCAACGAUCACCUCUUCUAUUAUUAAAUGGAUUUUCACUCUCAAAUGGUCUUUUUUUUUUAGCUAAUCGGGUCAGUCCUACCCCUCCAGAAAGGUAUUUUUUUAGCCACGUUAUCGUAUACUAGUAACUUUGAACUGAAUGGGGAGCCCGCUGUUCAUUCCAAAGUUUCAGGUAUUACUUGUGUGACAUCUUCUAGAGUCUCUAGGACUUUUUUUGGUGUUUUUUCUCUUUUUGUUUUUUUGGAAACUGUGCAUGCCUGCCCUUUGAUUUGAGCUGCCUUGUUAAUUUAUUAUUGCAUACCCUUCUUUUGGUAUUCCUCUCUCUACACUAUCUGUUCAGUUUGUAUUUAUUGGAAAACGAGGAACAGACGAAAGCGACUCUUCUCACGCGGUUGUGGCGGUGUGUGUGUGGGGGGGAUUAGCUCCAUCCCCUACCCGAAAUCCAGCAAUGUUACCAGGAAUGUUACCCGUGUGUCCGUCUGUCAGCCGCGAAUGUGUAUCGCUGCCCUUCUCAAAAAUGAAUCCUGUCCUCCCAUUGUCCAUAGGUCUUUUUAAGGGAUUUUUAAAAGAACUCUUUUGUUUUCCUGUUUUUAUUCUUCUCCGUUGCAAAGAACUCGGUUUCCUAAAUCAUACGGGAGCAAUAGUAUUUCUUGAUGUUUGAAUUACAUCCAUACACUUGUACUGUA